This 273-nucleotide unclassified non-coding RNA is filed under the name Hevea brasiliensis (rubber tree). The record is from RNAcentral. Lineage: Eukaryota; Viridiplantae; Streptophyta; Magnoliopsida; Malpighiales; Euphorbiaceae.
UCUCCUCGCUUGGAUGCUGCUUCUCCUCGCGAGAAUCUGCUGGAGAAGAGAAAAAAAAGAAAAAAGAGGACGAAGGAGAAGAUGAGAGAAAGAGGGGGGAGAAGAGAAGACGGAGGCGGAGAGAGGGGUUUAGGCGGGGAGAGAGAAGGGAGGAGAAGAGACAAUGGAGAAGAGAAGAGGAGGAGGACGGGAAGGGGAGAAAGACGGCGAGAGGGAGGAGGAACGAAGGGAGAGAGAGAAGAAGAGGGGGUCCCCAAAAGAAUGUAGGGAGAG